CAUAUAUUCAGCUGUCCUGUCAAUAAAGGCCUAAAAUGCCCAAAAAAUAAUCUUAAGAAAAAAGGAUGAACCAUUGAUGUGGUCUUCCAUCCCUCCCAGUGACGGACGACACAUGUUGACAGCAGAGAGGGAGACAAGCCACCAUAUAUGCCAGGUCUCGAAUUGAUGACAUAAAGUCCACUUUUGACCUGUCUUAUUGGCCUUACAUUUCAAAUGGAAUAAAACAAAUGGUGUUAAUGUGUUUUGAAUGAUGUUGUUAUUAAAGGUGUAAUACAGAAUUAGGUGAAGUAUCCACUAAAUAUUCUUUAAAUAACAGUAAAACCAGAUGGGGUCAAUUUUGACCCUAGAGGACAACAGGUGUGAUUAUGGGCUGCCAUUAAAAAAAUUCAAAUGAUUCAAAAACAGCAUCCUCACUAAACCUUGACAUAUACCACUCUGUGAUAAGUCAAAUAGUCAAAAUAAUUCAUAGUUUCAUUUUAUUUUUACUCAAAAACAGGGUAUACUUUUAUGUAAACUAUCUAUUCGCUCUAAAUUCCAAAACGAAGGGAAAAUGUAGUAAUGAGUUGAACUGAAGUAAGACUAAAGGUGUAACACAGAAUUGAUUGACAAUUUAUACUGUAUGCUUUAAA
This is a long non-coding RNA of Sander lucioperca (pikeperch), 629 nucleotides long. RefSeq lists it as uncharacterized. The record is from RefSeq and is a predicted model, not a curated record. The transcript is spliced from 2 exons. NCBI's taxonomy places the organism in Eukaryota, Metazoa, Chordata, Actinopteri, Perciformes, Percidae.